UAGUAGGCUCACCUAGCAUUCAUGUAAC
RNAcentral lists this non-coding RNA (28 nucleotides) under Rattus norvegicus (Norway rat). Lineage: Eukaryota; Metazoa; Chordata; Mammalia; Rodentia; Muridae. The record is from RNAcentral.